GAGAAAAAGUUGUUUUGCACACUGGUGACCCCGCAGGGCACACCAUCGCCACAUGCCCACGUCGCACCGAUAAGGGUCGGGGCAGCCCGAACAGGUACAGCGCCCACUCAAGUCCCACCGCCCCUGCGUCCCCGGGAAGCCCCCGGCCUCCCCGAGUCCCGCGCCCCGGACACUUCCGCAGAGUUGCAGUGCCGCAGGUCCCGGAGGGAUCGCGGGGUGGCCCGGCCGCCUGCCCGCUCCCUCCCGCUUCCCCGCCGCACUCACCUCCUCCGCGGCGGCGGGGCCUGGGCUCCCGGGCGGCGGGGGCGGCGGCGGCGGCGGCGGCUGAGCGGCUCCGGGUCGGGCCGGCCAGCGCUAGCGGCCCCCCGGGGCCAUGGCCCUGCCCGCGCCCUCUCGCCUCUGUGCCUGAGCCGGGGUCGACGCCGCGGCCCGGCUUUAACGGGUUCCCCGGGCUUCGGGCGCGUCAGCAGCCGAGGCCCCGGGCCCCAGCCCGGGCCAUGGGAAGGCUCAGGGGCGCUCGGGGCCGCCUCCCCCCGGGUGGGCUGCGGGCGCCCCCUGGCCGGCGCGCCGAGGGCGCAUUCCCCGGCGCGGGGCGCGGGCGACGGCGCGCGCUCGGCUCCGGGGCGCUGCGCUUGGCUCGGCCCGGCGGUGCUCGCCUGCUGGCUGGCCUGGGGCCGGGCGGCCGCGCUGGGCUGCGCCGCUGCUCGCGGCGCGCCCUGGCCCUGCGCUGCGCUCGGGGCUGGCCUGACCGCGGCCGUUCGCUCGCUAGCUCGCUCUGGUCUCGCGGCCGCCGGCGGGACGGGGCGCUCGGAGCCGCGCGGGGAGCGCCGGCAAUUGGCCGCCCGUGGGCGACAUUUGCAUAGCGCGGCCCCGCCCCGCCCGCCCCGCCCGGCCCCACCCCCGGGGCGGGACCCGCCCGGCCGCCGCCCCGCCCCCCGCUCCACCUGUCCGCGAGCCGGGCUCGGGGCUCCCGGGCGGUGGGGCAACCCGAGCCAGGGGAGACCAAUCUGCACCCCGCGCCCCCGCCCCGGCUUCGCGGGCGGCGCCCCCGCCCCGCCCUGGCUUUGUCUCUCCGUGGAUACACCGCGCGCACCGCGCCUGGUGUUUACCCGGGCACUCAACUCCCUGGCGGGAAGGGCGGGCGCGCCGGGGAGCACCGAGCCUGCGCUCACCUGCGCACACACUGCCGUGUCACUCCUUCCCACUUGCUGCGGGCCGCGCCGGGCCCCGCGCCUGAGUCCCGCAGUAUAG
RNAcentral lists this long non-coding RNA (1251 nucleotides) under Canis lupus familiaris (dog). RNAcentral's name for it is "lncRNA (ENSCAFG00030012633.1)". The record is from RNAcentral. Lineage: Eukaryota; Metazoa; Chordata; Mammalia; Carnivora; Canidae.